RNAcentral lists this ribosomal RNA (484 nucleotides) under uncultured bacterium. RNAcentral describes it as "partial 16S ribosomal RNA". It matches the Rfam family "Bacterial small subunit ribosomal RNA", at positions 28 to 507 of the family's 1533-position model. The record is from RNAcentral.
AUUGAACGCUGGCGGCAUGCUUUACACAUGCAAGUCGAACGGCAGCGCGGGCUUCGGCCUGGCGGCGAGUGGCGAACGGGUGAGUAAUGCAUCGGAACGUGCCCAGUAGUGGGGGAUAGCCCGGCGAAAGCCGGAUUAAUACCGCAUACGACCUGAGGGUGAAAGCGGGGGACCGGAAGGCCUCGCGCUAUUGGAGCGGCCGAUGUCGGAUUAGCUAGUUGGUGGGGUAAAGGCUUACCAAGGCGACGAUCCGUAGCUGGUCUGAGAGGACGACCAGCCACACUGGGACUGAGACACGGCCCAGACUCCUACGGGAGGCAGCAGUGGGGAAUUUUGGACAAUGGGGGCAACCCUGAUCCAGCCAUGCCGCGUGCGGGAAGAAGGCCUUCGGGUUGUAAACCGCUUUUGUUCGGGAAGAAAUCCUCUGGGCUAAUACCCCGGGGGGAUGACGGUACCGGAAGAAUAAGCACCGGCUAACUACGUG